AACGGAAGAGGUGGCUGUCAUUCAAACAGAUUACGCUCGCACAGGUAAAUUUUGAGUCAGAGUGCUGGCGAGAAAAAACGUGCUCCGCAGGACAGUGUGGAUGGUCUGUUGGUAUGCUUCUUGGUGCCUUUAAACGGGUGCCGGAGGCGGACAGCACUUUUAUUUUGAACUAAUUUGAGUACUCCAAGCAGGCCUUUGUGCCUGAAAAUUCUUGCAUGGAAUAUUGGAAUAGGAGUUAGAUUUUACUUUUGAGGUUUUCACAUCCGAAGUAAUGGUUAAGAGGGACAGACAGGGACAUUUGUGUGGCGGUGAAAUUCUUGAAUCGUCACCAGACAAACUACAGUGAAAGCAUUUGCCAAAAAUGGUUUCAUUGAUCUUGAUCGAAAAUCGGAGGUUCGAGGACGAUCAGAAACCGUCCUAGUUCUGACCAUAACUAAUGCUAAUUGACGAUCCGUCACAAUCUCCAGAAAUCCCUUAAGUCUUGAGGCUCCGUGGGAAGUAUGGUUGCAAAACUGAAACCCAAAAGAAGGGGGGUACUGUAGUGUCUUACUUUUCUAUCCACUUUUAUCUGACAUUAUUGUACAGCUUGUUUUAAUAUGCACAACA
RNAcentral lists this non-coding RNA (606 nucleotides) under Echinostoma caproni. RNAcentral's name for it is "Eukaryotic small subunit ribosomal RNA". It matches the Rfam family "Eukaryotic small subunit ribosomal RNA", at positions 672 to 1668 of the family's 1831-position model. The record is from Rfam by way of RNAcentral. Lineage: Eukaryota; Metazoa; Platyhelminthes; Trematoda; Plagiorchiida; Echinostomatidae.